GACGAACGCUGGCGGCGUGCUUAACACAUGCAAGUCGAACGGGUCUGCCCUGUUUUUUGCGGGGUGGGUCCGUGGCGAACGGGUGAGUAACACGUGAGUAACCUGCCCCUCACUUCUGGAUAACCGCUUGAAAGGGUGGCUAAUACGGGGUGUUCUGGCUGUGCCGCAUGGUGUGGCUGGGAAAGAUUCACUUUUGUGGUGUUUUGGUGGGGGAUGGGCUCGCGGCCUAUCAGCUUGUUGGUGGGGUGAUGGCCUGCCAAGGCUUUGACGGGUAGCCGGCCUGAGAGGGUGGGCGGUCACACUGGGACUGAGAUACGGCCCAGACUCCUGCGGGAGGCAGCAGUGGGGGGUAUUGCACAAUGGGCGGAAGCCUGAUGCAGCGACGUCGCGUGAGGGAUGGAGGCCUUCGGGUUGUGAACCUCUUUCGCCGGUGAAGAAGGUCCUGCUCUUUGUGGGGGGGUUGACGGUAGCCGGGUUAUGAAGCGCCGGCUAACUACGUG
Molecule: ribosomal RNA, 500 nt
Filed under: uncultured bacterium
Lineage: Bacteria
Description: partial 16S ribosomal RNA
Rfam family: Bacterial small subunit ribosomal RNA
Source: RNAcentral